AAUAGAUACCCUGGUAGUCCACGCCGUAAACGAUGAGUGCUAAGUGUUAGAGGGUUUCCGCCCUUUAGUGCUGCAGCAAACGCAUUAAGCACUCCGCCUGGGGAGUACGGUCGCAAGACUGAAACUCAAAGGAAUUGACGGGGGCCCGCACAAGCGGUGGAGCAUGUGGUUUAAUUCGAAGCAACGCGAAGAACCUUACCAGGUCUUGACAUCCUUAUGCCAUCUCUAGAGAUAGAGCUUUCCCUUCGGGGACAUAAGUGACAGGUGGUGCAUGGUUGUCGUCAGCUCGUGUCGUGAGAUGUUGGGUUAAGUCCCGCAACGAGCGCAACCCUUGAUCUUAGUUGCCAGCAUUAAGUUGGGCACUCUAAGGUGACUGCCGGUGACAAACCGGAGGAAGGUGGGGAUGACGUCAAAUCAUCAUGCCCCUUAUGACCUGGGCUACACACGUGCUACAAUGGAUGGUACAAAGGGCAGCAAAACCGCGAGGUUAAGCCAAUCCCAUAAAACCAUUCUCAGUUCGGAUUGCAGG
This 529-nucleotide ribosomal RNA is filed under the name uncultured bacterium. RNAcentral describes it as "bacterial SSU rRNA". It matches the Rfam family "Bacterial small subunit ribosomal RNA", at positions 777 to 1304 of the family's 1533-position model. The record is from RNAcentral.